UAGGCACUGGACUAUAGCAGUAAACAAAGCUCAUCAUGUCUCUGCCCUCAAACUCUACAGUCCCGGGAAUGAGGAAAACUGAGGUCAGGUUCUGCAAAGUGGACCAGAGACUGUGCACAAGAAGAUGAUGCUCCAUGAACGGCUGGAACUGGAAACAGGAUAACUUGGAUAAUACACCCCAUCUCGGCACCUAUGAGAGUCUGACUCACUUCCUCUGUCCAGAGGAGAAACAAGGACUCCUUGGACAAAGCGUGUGCCUUUCACAGCCAACGAAUCAGGCGUUUCUCCGGGUUCUGUGAAGCUUAUUUAGUGACAUUCCCCAAAACCUGUGCUCAGUGGCAAGAUUCUCCAUUUCCUGAGGACAAGCGCCGAUGCAAAUAGCAGGAGCUCUACCCCCCUCUCUUCUCGUCCUACUGUGGAAGUGGGUUUCAUUUGAGCAGUAAGACAUGACAGACAGUGCAUUUGUGGGCAAUUAAGUCACACCUUGGGUGGUAUCAGAAAGCAUAAGGUCAAGGGAUGGGGGCUUUAACUUCCUAAGAAAUGCAAUAAUGACCCUGAAAUGCACAGCUUGGGUACCUUAUUACAAUUGUAAGAUGGAAUACAUUAAAAUAAAGAAAACAAGGAACAAAGAUGAAAGUGGAAUUGGUCGAUGGGGGUAUGAAAUCAAUGUCAGGCAAUCAUAAGUCUUUGUAUUUGAAUUUCUAAAAGCAUUUCCAAAUGGUCGCCCCUUCAUAAAGCUUUAGUACUUUCUCAUGUACAAUCAGACACAGAUUGUCUUUUAAUGACAUUGGCAAGAAUUGGAAGAAGAACCAUUUCUUUUCGUUUGAGAAGAAAACUUUGUUAAGGCUGGUGGCUGGCAUCUGCACUAGUUUUAGACAGGCCAGAGGUAUGAAUGGGAUAGAACAAGCUGGCGAGGAUCAGACCCCCAUUGGGUAAGUAAAGCACCACUGAGUCACUGCUGAGAAAUCCAAGGCACUGUACAUAAAGGCAAGCCCUGUAGAAGGAUGAAAGAGGCACCGCUCACAAGGACAUCUGUAUCCUAGUCCGGGGAACCUAUGAAUGUUAC
This 1066-nucleotide long non-coding RNA is filed under the name Aotus nancymaae (Ma's night monkey). Its description in RNAcentral is "lncRNA (ENSANAG00000038874.1)". Lineage: Eukaryota; Metazoa; Chordata; Mammalia; Primates; Aotidae. The record is from RNAcentral.